Molecule: unclassified non-coding RNA, 328 nt
Filed under: Bacillus licheniformis
Lineage: Bacteria; Bacillati; Bacillota; Bacilli; Caryophanales; Bacillaceae
Description: partial contains 16S ribosomal RNA, 16S-23S ribosomal RNA intergenic spacer, and 23S ribosomal RNA
Rfam family: Bacterial large subunit ribosomal RNA (bases 197-328)
Source: RNAcentral
UUGCGGCUGGAUCCCCUCCUUUCUAAGGAUAUUAUACGGAAUAUAAGACCUUGCGGUCUUAUAGACAGGUGCGUUUGGAUCUUGUUUAGUUUUGAAGGAUCAUUCCUUCAAAGCGUGUUCUUUGAAAACUAGAUAACGAAAGUAGACAUUCACAUUCAAUUGUAAUGCAAGAUAUCACGUAGUGAUUCUUUUUAACGGUUAAGUUAGAAAGGGCGCACGGUGGAUGCCUUGGCACUAGGAGCCGAUGAAGGACGGGACGAACACCGAUAUGCUUCGGGGAGCUGUAAGCAAGCUUUGAUCCGGAGAUUUCCGAAUGGGGAAACCCGGA